RNAcentral lists this small RNA (1637 nucleotides) under uncultured marine bacterium. RNAcentral's name for it is "bacterial SSU rRNA". The stretch from base 1 to 1009 matches the Rfam family "Bacterial small subunit ribosomal RNA", at positions 528 to 1533 of the family's 1533-position model. The record is from RNAcentral.
UAGGGAGCAAGCGUUGUCCGGAUUUAUUGGGCGUAAAGAGCUCGUAGGUGGUUCGGUAAGUCGGAUGUGAAAACUCAAGGCUCGACCUUGAGACGCCAUCCGAUACUGCUGUGACUUGAGUUCGGUAGAGGAGUGUGGAAUUCCUGGUGUAGCGGUGAAAUGCGCAGAUAUCAGGAGGAACACCAACAGCGAAGGCAGCACUCUGGGCCGAUACUGACACUGAGGAGCGAAAGCAUGGGGAGCAAACAGGAUUAGAUACCCUGGUAGUCCAUGCCGUAAACGUUGGGCACUAGGUGUGGGGAUUUAUCAACGAUCUCCGCGCCGUCGCUAACGCAUUAAGUGCCCCGCCUGGGGAGUACGGCCGCAAGGCUAAAACUCAAAGGAAUUGACGGGGGCCCGCACAAGCGGCGGAGCAUGUUGCUUAAUUCGAGGCAACGCGAAGAACCUUACCUGGGUUUGACAUUUAGGGAAAAGCCAUAGAGAUAUGGUGUCCUUCGGGGCCCUAAACAGGUGGUGCAUGGCUGUCGUCAGCUCGUGUCGUGAGAUGUUGGGUUAAGUCCCGCAACGAGCGCAACCCCUGUCCUAUGUUGCCAGCACGUAAAGGUGGGGACUCAUGGGAGACUGCCGGCGUCAAGUCGGAGGAAGGUGGGGACGACGUCAAGUCAUCAUGCCCCUUAUGUCCAGGGCUGCAAACAUGCUACAAUGGCCGGUACAACGGGCAGCGACACUGCGAAGUGAAGCGAAUCCCUUAAAGCCGGUCUCAGUUCGGAUUGAAGUCUGCAACUCGACUUCAUGAAGCUGGAGUCGCUAGUAAUCCCGGAUCAGCAACGCCGGGGUGAAUACGUUCCCGGGCCUUGUACACACCGCCCGUCACACCACGAAAGUCGGUAACACCCGAAGUCAGUGGCCCAACUCGUAAGAGGGGGAGCUGCCGAAGGUGGGAUCGGUGAUUGGGGUGAAGUCGUAACAAGGUAGCCGUACCGGAAGGUGCGGCUGGAUCACCUCCUUUCUAAGGAGAUCUACAGUUGUCAUUCACGACUUUGUGAGUGGUCAUACUGUGGUCAUCUAGUUGGUCGCUGGUUUUUCAACGUUUCUCUCCUUGCAGACAAUUGAUCUGUGAGUGCAUGUUCGUUGGAUUGUUCAAACUCUGAUUUGAUCCGCUUUUCUGUCUUCUGUUUUGAGAGGGCGUCGGUUCCAUUGUGUCUUUGUGGCAUGUGGGUUGGUUGCCUUUGUGGCUCUGUGGUGGCUUUGUGUCGUUGCAUCUACGAGAAUUUAAGUUGCCGCAUCCUCAAUUUGGGUGCGGUUUCUUGCGUUCCUUGGUCUUUGAGAAUUGAAUAGCGAGCACGAGCAUCUUUGACACUUCCUUACUCAAAUGAGGAGGUGUCUAGAUAAAUUGCAGCAUCACUCUCGGGUGGUGUUGCGCAAACUUUUAGUUUAAAUGAGUAUGGCCAGUCGUGAGACUGGUCUCUUAACUUGAUCUCUUUAAAAACACAGAGGUUCUCUGACGAUUUAAGGAUUUCGGAUUUCAAGCUACAAAGAGCCAACGGUGAAUGCCUUGGCACGUACUACCGAAGAAGGACGCGAUCGGCUGCGAUAAGCCACGGCGAGCUGCCUAAUAAGCUAUGACCCGUGGAUGU